ACGAACGCUGGCGGCGUGCUUCACACAUGCAAGUCGCACGGAUAGGCCCUGCUUUUGUGGGGUGCUCGAGUGGCGAACGGGUGAGUAACACGUGAGUAACCUGCCCUUGACUUUGGGAUAACUUCAGGAAACUGGGGCUAAUACCGGAUAGGAGCUCCUGCUGCAUGGUGGGGGUUGGAAAGUUUCGGCGGUCGGGGAUGGACUCGCGGCUUAUCAGCUUGUUGGUGGGGUAGUGGCUUACCAAGGCUUUGACGGGUAGCCGGCCUGAGAGGGUGACCGGCCACAUUGGGACUGAGAUACGGCCCAGACUCCUACGGGAGGCAGCAGUGGGGAAUAUUGCACAAUGGGCGGAAGCCUGAUGCAGCAACGCCGCGUGCGGGAUGACGGCCUUCGGGUUGUAAACCGCUUUCGCCUGUGACGAAGCGUGAGUGACGGUAAUGGGUAAAGAAGCACCGGCUAACUACGUG
RNAcentral lists this ribosomal RNA (467 nucleotides) under uncultured bacterium. RNAcentral describes it as "partial 16S ribosomal RNA". It matches the Rfam family "Bacterial small subunit ribosomal RNA", at positions 29 to 507 of the family's 1533-position model. The record is from RNAcentral.